RNAcentral lists this long non-coding RNA (750 nucleotides) under Homo sapiens (human). RNAcentral's name for it is "HSALNT0361777". The record is from RNAcentral. Lineage: Eukaryota; Metazoa; Chordata; Mammalia; Primates; Hominidae.
CGCAGUGCGUUUAGGAAGUUGUACGCAUACCCAACUGAAGCUUUCUUCCCUUCUCCAGUGGAGUGCACCUGCACAGAAACUCUCUCUGUACCACGUACCUGCUGCCAGAAGCUGGGAAGGAGUGGUGCUGGUGAUUCAAAACUGAUUUUCCUGCCUCUUCGAUGCCUCUUUUAGUGACAUACAGUUAAGACCAGGCACUGGUAUAACCAGGAGUUGCGAAGUGGUCGUAGUUGUUCAUGUCUCAAUCUGGAUCAUCUUUGCUUUUUGCUUCUGCUUUGUGCUAUCCCUCUUCCCGUACCUCAGUUCUAUCUGGAACCAUGAUCUGUGACUGCCAUGGAAAAGUGUUGGGCAGGAGGAGGCCAGCUGGGUCUUUGAAGUUGACAAUGGAGCCAGGAAUGAAAGCUGCACUUAGGAUGAGAAUUGCUUUCCCUGGAGCCAAGUCAGCAAAUGCAGUCUGGUUGUCAGAGCUGAGAGGCUUCACCAAGUCAAGUAGGGGAGGACAUCUUCACUCUGCAACUUGCCCUACUGAAUGCAGAAAGUACUGUCUACUUAGAUAAAGCCUACACUAAAAGGGAAUUGAAUCUCUGCAAAUAAGUAUGUGGAUCUAAUUUCUACCUUCCAGAUUAAAAGUAUAAUUAAAAAUGAAAACCUUUGUAGGACUAAAUUGAUUUUGCAGACAAAUCUCACUUCUUAGCUUGAGCUGACUUAUUCCCAAUCUUAAACCCUAAUUAAUAACAUACAAGAAUGAGU